UACGUAGGUGGCAAGCGUUGUCCGGAAUUAUUGGGCGUAAAGCGCGCGCAGGCGGUCCCUUAAGUCUGAUGUGAAAGCCCACGGCUCAACCGUGGAGGGUCAUUGGAAACUGGGGGACUUGAGUGCAGAAGAGGAAAGUGGAAUUCCAUGUGUAGCGGUGAAAUGCGUAGAGAUGUGGAGGAACACCAGUGGCGAAGGCGACUUUCUGGUCUGUAACUGACGCUGAGGCUCGAAAGCGUGGGGAGCGAACAGG
This 253-nucleotide ribosomal RNA is filed under the name uncultured bacterium. Its description in RNAcentral is "partial 16S ribosomal RNA". It matches the Rfam family "Bacterial small subunit ribosomal RNA", at positions 524 to 776 of the family's 1533-position model. The record is from RNAcentral.